RNAcentral lists this ribosomal RNA (405 nucleotides) under Blastocystis sp. RNAcentral describes it as "SSU rRNA". It matches the Rfam family "Eukaryotic small subunit ribosomal RNA", at positions 573 to 989 of the family's 1831-position model. Lineage: Eukaryota; Bigyra; Opalinata; Blastocystidae. The record is from RNAcentral.
GCCGCGGUAAUUCCAGCUCCAAUAGCGUAUAUUAACGUUGUUGCAGUUAAAAAGCUCGUAGUUGAAGUGAGGGAGUGUGUGGGUAUGAGAGCUAGUCUCAAGUGUUCACAACCUCCCCCCUCCAAUCGGUGUAGUGGGGUAUUCAGUUAUUCUACUACUCCUUUGGUCGUUUACUGCGAGAAAAUUAGAGUGUUCAAAGCGGGCGUUUGUUUGAAUAGAUUAGCAUGGAAUAAUGAUUGAAGGCUUUCGUGUUCGAUUUGAUUGGUUUGUUCAUGGAAGCAAGGUUAAAAGGAACAGUUGGGGGUAUUCAUAUUCACUAGUUAGAGGUGAAAUUCUCGGAUUUAUGGAAGAUGAACAGGUGCGAAAGCAUUUACCAAGGAUGUUGUCAUUAAUCAAGAACGAAAG